This 485-nucleotide ribosomal RNA is filed under the name uncultured bacterium. Its description in RNAcentral is "partial 16S ribosomal RNA". It matches the Rfam family "Bacterial small subunit ribosomal RNA", at positions 28 to 523 of the family's 1533-position model. The record is from RNAcentral.
GAUGAACGCUGGCGGCGUGCUUAACACAUGCAAGUCGAACGAAGAUGCCGGAGUGCUUGCACUUUGGCAGACUGAGUGGCGGACGGGUGAGUAACGCGUGGGUAACCUGCCUUAUACAGGGGGAUAACAGUUGGAAACGACUGCUAAUACCGCAUAAGCGCACGGUAUCGCAUGAUACAGUGUGAAAAACUCCGGUGGUAUAAGAUGGACCCGCGUCCGAUUAGCUGGUUGGUGAGGUAACGGCUCACCAAGGCGACGAUCAGUAGCCGGCCUGAGAGGGUGAACGGCCACAUUGGGACUGAGACACGGCCCAAACUCCUACGGGAGGCAGCAGUGGGGAAUAUUGCACAAUGGGGGAAACCCUGAUGCAGCGACGCCGCGUGAGUGAUGAAGUAUUUCGGUAUGUAAAACUCUAUCAGCAGGGAAGAUAAUGACGGUACCUGACUAAGAAGCACCGGCUAAAUACGUGCCAGCCGCCGCCGUAA